GUGACAGUUCCCCGCAAACUAUUCCUACACAAUAUCACUGUCCCAUUCUUUGUACUGCUCAUUCGAUCUCUCUCAUGUAAAGGUCCUUGCAGUGUUCAAAGGGAUACAAGAGACUGAAGUGGUCCUUGGAUUGGAGUAUUACCCUCUCAGAUUCUGUUAUGAAAAUGCUAUGAGAGGCCAUGUAUACACACCAUGUAGCAUAGAAGAUGUUUAGCAGAC
RNAcentral lists this unclassified non-coding RNA (219 nucleotides) under Hevea brasiliensis (rubber tree). Lineage: Eukaryota; Viridiplantae; Streptophyta; Magnoliopsida; Malpighiales; Euphorbiaceae. The record is from RNAcentral.